This 905-nucleotide ribosomal RNA is filed under the name uncultured bacterium. RNAcentral's name for it is "bacterial SSU rRNA". It matches the Rfam family "Bacterial small subunit ribosomal RNA", at positions 51 to 946 of the family's 1533-position model. The record is from RNAcentral.
ACACAUGCAAGUCGAGGGGAAACGACAUCGAAAGCUUGCUUUUGAUGGGCGUCGACCGGCGCACGGGUGAGUAACGCGUAUCCAACCUGCCCACCACUUGGGGAUAACCUUGCGAAAGUAAGACUAAUACCCAAUGAUAUCUCUAGAAGACAUCUGAAAGAGAUUAAAGAUUUACCGGUGAUGGAUGGGGAUGCGUCUGAUUAGCUUGUUGGCGGGGUAACGGCCCACCAAGGCAACGAUCAGUAGGGGUUCUGAGAGGAAGGUCCCCCACAUUGGAACUGAGACACGGUCCAAACUCCUACGGGAGGCAGCAGUGAGGAAUAUUGGUCAAUGGACGAGAGUCUGAACCAGCCAAGUAGCGUGCAGGAUGACGGCCCUAUGGGUUGUAAACUGCUUUUAUAAGGGAAUAAAGUGAGUCUCGUGAGACUUUUUGCAUGUACCUUAUGAAUAAGGACCGGCUAAUUCCGUGCCAGCAGCCGCGGUAAUACGGAAGGUCCGGGCGUUAUCCGGAUUUAUUGGGUUUAAAGGGAGCGUAGGCCGGAGAUUAAGCGUGUUGUGAAAUGUAGAUGCUCAACAUCUGCACUGCAGCGCGAACUGGUUUCCUUGAGUACGCACAAAGUGGGCGGAAUUCGUGGUGUAGCGGUGAAAUGCUUAGAUAUCACGAAGAACUCCGAUUGCGAAGGCAGCUCACUGGAGCGCAACUGACGCUGAAGCUCGAAAGUGCGGGUAUCGAACAGGAUUAGAUACCCUGGUAGUCCGCACGGUAAACGAUGGAUGCCCGCUGUUGGUCUGAAUAGGUCAGCGGCCAAGCGAAAGCAUUAAGCAUCCCACCUGGGGAGUACGCCGGCAACGGUGAAACUCAAAGGAAUUGACGGGGGCCCGCACAAGCGGAGGAACAUGUGGUU